AUGGGACCAUCAGGAGAGCUGUGUGACUUCACCAGUUUCUUGUUCUUUGAAAUGCAUUCUGCAGAGCACGAGGCAGGAGCUGAUGGCCCCACCUGCACUCACAUCUUGCUCAGCCUGAUGACAACAUCUGGACCAGCUCAGAAUAGAAUCAUGAGGUCGGUGUUUAUAACUUCCCAAACCAUCUAUAUGCUGUUUUUAGUGCUGACGCUGUGCAUGAAAGGCCGUGUCACCACCGUGCUCAUGUUUCCGUGUGACUCUGGGGCUGAUUUGUCCCAUUUCGUAACCAGUAAGCGAAGUGAGUCUGACAGCCUUGAUUUCAGCUCUCACUUGCUGGUUCCCAUGCUGCAGAUAGGCUCCAUUAGUAGCAAAUUCCUGCCAAAAGAAGUGAAUUACAGUUCAGGCUGA
RNAcentral lists this long non-coding RNA (405 nucleotides) under Coturnix japonica (Japanese quail). RNAcentral describes it as "lncRNA (ENSCJPG00005007236.1)". Lineage: Eukaryota; Metazoa; Chordata; Aves; Galliformes; Phasianidae. The record is from RNAcentral.